GAUGAACGCUAGCGGCAGGCCUAAUACAUGCAAGUCGGACGGGAUUUGGGAGCUUGCUCCUAAUGAGAGUGGCGCACGGGUGCGUAACACGUAUGUAACCUACCUUAAUCAGGGGGAUAGCCUCUCGAAAGAGAGAUUAACACCGCAUAAUAUAUUUUUAUGGCAUCGUAGGAAUAUCAAAUAUUUAUAGGAUUAAGAUGGGCAUGCGGAACAUUAGCUGGUUGGUAAGGUAACGGCUUACCAAGGCUACGAUGUUUAGGGGAUCUGAGAGGAUGACCCCCCGCACUGGUACUGAGACACGGACCAGACUCCUACGGGAGGCAGCAGUAAGGAAUAUUGGUCAAUGGGCGCAAGCCUGAACCAGCCAUGCCGCGUGCAGGAAGACGGCCCUAUGGGUUGUAAACUGCUUUUGUACCGGAAUAAACCCUUUUACGUGUAGAAGGCUGAAUGUACGGUAAGAAUAAGGAUCGGCUAACUCCGUGCCAGCAGCCGCCGUAA
This 498-nucleotide ribosomal RNA is filed under the name uncultured bacterium. Its description in RNAcentral is "partial 16S ribosomal RNA". It matches the Rfam family "Bacterial small subunit ribosomal RNA", at positions 28 to 523 of the family's 1533-position model. The record is from RNAcentral.